RNAcentral lists this transfer RNA (74 nucleotides) under Paralemanea grandis. RNAcentral describes it as "tRNA-Phe". It matches the Rfam family "tRNA". Rfam says of the family: Transfer RNA (tRNA) molecules are approximately 80 nucleotides in length. Their secondary structure includes four short double-helical elements and three loops (D, anti-codon, and T loops). Further hydrogen bonds mediate the characteristic L-shaped molecular structure. tRNAs have two regions of fundamental functional importance: the anti-codon, which is responsible for specific mRNA codon recognition, and the 3' end, to which the tRNAs corresponding amino acid is attached (by aminoacyl-tRNA synthetases). tRNAs cope with the degeneracy of the genetic code in two manners: having more than one tRNA (with a specific anti-codon) for a particular amino acid; and 'wobble' base-pairing, i.e. permitting non-standard base-pairing at the 3rd anti-codon position. The record is from RNAcentral. Lineage: Eukaryota; Rhodophyta; Florideophyceae; Batrachospermales; Lemaneaceae. RNAcentral also lists the same sequence under 1 other name.
GUCUAAAUAGCUCAGAUAGGUAGAGCGUUAGGUUGAAAACCUUUGAGUCACGAGUUCGAGUCUCGUUUUAGACA